Molecule: ribosomal RNA, 253 nt
Filed under: uncultured bacterium
Lineage: Bacteria
Description: partial 16S ribosomal RNA
Rfam family: Bacterial small subunit ribosomal RNA
Source: RNAcentral
UACGAGGGGAGCAAGCGUUGUUCGGAUUUACUGGGCGUAAAGGGCGCGUAGGCGGCGUGACUAGUCACUUGUGAAAUCUCCGGGCUUAACUCGGAACGGUCAAGUGAUACUGUCGUGCUAGAGUACAGAAGGGGCAACUGGAAUUCUCGGUGUAGCGGUGAAAUGCGUAGAUAUCGAGAGGAACACCUGCGGCGAAGGCGGGUUGCUGGGCUGAUACUGACGCUGAUGCGCGAAAGCCAGGGGAGCGAACGGG